GGUUAAGUGACUAAGCGUACACGGUGGAUGCCUUGGCAGUCAGAGGCGAUGAAAGACGUAGUAACUUGCGAUAAGCCCAGAUUAGGUAGUAACAACCAUUUGAGUCUGGGAUUUCUGAAUGGGGAAACCCACGUGCAUAAGCACGUAUCCUUACCUGAAUACAUAGGGUAAGGAGGCGAACCGGGGGAACUGAAACAUCUAAGUACCCCGAGGAAAAGAAAUCAACCGAGAUUCCGAAAGUAGCGGCGAGCGAAAUUGGACUAGCCCUUAAGCUUUACACGCGUUAGACGAACGGUCUGGAAAGUCCGACGAUACAGGGUGAUAGUCCCGUAGUUGACGACGUGUGUUCAGUGAAAUCGAGUAGGGCGGGACACGUGAUAUCCUGUCUGAAUAUGGGGGGACCAUCCUCCAAGGCUAAAUACUACUGACUGACCGAUAGUGAACCAGUACCGUGAGGGAAAGGCGAAAAGAACCCCUGUGAGGGGAGUGAAAUAGAACCUGAAACCGUGUACGUACAAGCAGUAGGAGCAGGCUUUGUCCUGUGACUGCGUACCUUUUGUAUAAUGGGUCAGCGACUUAUAUUCAGUGGCAAGGUUAACCAUCUAGGGGAGCCGUAGGGAAACCGAGUCUUAACUGGGCGUUCAGUCUCUGGAUAUAGACCCGAAACCAGGUGAUCUAGCCAUGGGCAGGUUGAAGGUUGAGUAACAUCAACUGGAGGACCGAACCGACUAAUGUUGAAAAAUUAGCGGAUGACUUGUGGCUAGGGGUGAAAGGCCAAUCAAACCUGGAGAUAGCUGGUUCUCCCCGAAAGCUAUUUAGGUAGCGCCUCGGACGAAUACUACUGGGGGUAGAGCACUGUUAAGGCUAGGGGGUCAUCCCGACUUACCAACCCUUUGCAAACUCCGAAUACCAGUAAGUACUAUCCGGGAGACACACGGCGGGUGCUAACGUCCGUCGUGGAGAGGGAAACAACCCAGACCGCCAGCUAAGGUCCCAAAUUACUACUAAGUGGGAAACGAUGUGGGAAGGCUCAGACAGCCAGGAUGUUGGCUUAGAAGCAGCCAUCAUUUAAAGAAAGCGUAAUAGCUCACUGGUCGAGUCGGCCUGCGCGGAAGAUGUAACGGGGCUAAGUAGUAAACCGAAGCUGCGGCAAUAUACUUUUGUAUAUUGGGUAGGGGAGCGUUCUGUAAGCGGUUGAAGGUGUGUGGUAACGCAUGCUGGACGUAUCAGAAGUGCGAAUGCUGACAUGAGUAACGAUAAAGGGGGUGAAAAACCUCCUCGCCGGAAGACCAAGGGUUCCUGUCCAACGUUAAUCGGGGCAGGGUAAGUCGACCCCUAAGGCGAGGCCGAAAGGCGUAGUCGAUGGGAAACGGGUUAAUAUUCCCGUACUUCUUACAAUUGCGAUGGGGGGACGGAGAAGGCUAGGUGGGCCUGGCGACGGUUGUCCAGGUUCAAGUGCGUAGGCUUAAGAGUUAGGUAAAUCCGGCUCUUUUUAAGGCUGAGACACGACGUCGAGCACCUACGGGUGUGAAGUCAUUGAUGCUAUGCUUCCAGGAAAAGCCUCUAAGCUUCAGAUUGUAAGGAAUCGUACCCCAAACCGACACAGGUGGUCGGGUAGAGAAUACCAAGGCGCUUGAGAGAACUCGGGUGAAGGAACUAGGCAAAAUGGUACCGUAACUUCGGGAGAAGGUACGCUCUUGAUGGUGAAGUCCCUUGCGGAUGGAGCUGACGAGAGUCGCAGAUACCAGGUGGCUGCAACUGUUUAUUAAAAACACAGCACUGUGCAAAAUCGUAAGAUGACGUAUACGGUGUGACGCCUGCCCGGUGCCGGAAGGUUAAUUGAUGGGGUUAGACUUCGGUCGAAGCUCUUGAUCGAAGCCCCGGUAAACGGCGGCCGUAACUAUAACGGUCCUAAGGUAGCGAAAUUCCUUGUCGGGUAAGUUCCGACCUGCACGAAUGGCGUAAUGAUGGCCACGCUGUCUCCACCCGAGACUCAGUGAAAUUGAAAUCGCUGUGAAGAUGCAGUGUACCCGCGGCUAGACGGAAAGACCCCGUGAACCUUUACUACAGCUUGGCACUGAACAUUGACCCUACAUGUGUAGGAUAGGUGGGAGGCUUUGAAGCACGUACGCCAGUAUGUGUGGAGCCGUCCUUGAAAUACCACCCUUGUAGUGUUGAUGUUCUAACGUCGACCCCUAAUCGGGGUUGCGGACAGUGCCUGGUGGGUAGUUUGACUGGGGCGGUCUCCUCCCAAAGAGUAACGGAGGAGCACGAAGGUGGGCUAAUCACGGUUGGACAUCGUGAGGUUAGUGCAAUGGCAUAAGCCCGCUUGACUGCGAGAAUGACAAUUCGAGCAGGUGCGAAAGCAGGUCAUAGUGAUCCGGUGGUUCUGAAUGGAAGGGCCAUCGCUCAACGGAUAAAAGGUACUCCGGGGAUAACAGGCUGAUACCGCCCAAGAGUUCAUAUCGACGGCGGUGUUUGGCACCUCGAUGUCGGCUCAUCACAUCCUGGGGCUGAAGUCGGUCCCAAGGGUAUGGCUGUUCGCCAUUUAAAGUGGUACGCGAGCUGGGUUUAGAACGUCGUGAGACAGUUCGGUCCCUAUCUGCCGUGGGCGUUGGAAGAUUGAAGGGGGCUGCUCCUAGUACGAGAGGACCGGAGUGGACGAACCUCUGGUGUUCGGGUUGUGUCGCCAGACGCAUUGCCCGGUAGCUAAGUUCGGAAUCGAUAACCGCUGAAAGCAUCUAAGCGGGAAGCGAGCCCUGAGAUGAGUCUUCCCUGAUACUUUAAGUAUCCUAAAGGGUUGUCGGAGACUACGACGUUGAUAGGUCAGGUGUGUAAGUGCUGUGAGGCAUUGAGCUAACUGAUACUAAUUGCCCGUGAGGCUUAACCAU
RNAcentral lists this ribosomal RNA (2891 nucleotides) under Vibrio parahaemolyticus. Its description in RNAcentral is "LSU rRNA". It matches the Rfam family "Bacterial large subunit ribosomal RNA". Lineage: Bacteria; Pseudomonadati; Pseudomonadota; Gammaproteobacteria; Vibrionales; Vibrionaceae. The record is from RNAcentral.